GCAUAUCAAUAAGCGGAGGAAAAGAAACCAACAGGGAUUGCCCUAGUAACGGCGAGUGAAGCGGCAACAGCUCAAAUUUGAAAUCUGGCUCUUUCAGAGUCCGAGUUGUAAUUUGCAGAGGGCGCUUUGGCUUUGGCAGCGGUCCAAGUUCCUUGGAACAGGACGUCACAGAGGGUGAGAAUCCCGUACGUGGUCGCUAGCUAUUGCCGUGUAAAGCCCCUUCGACGAGUCGAGUUGUUUGGGAAUGCAGCUCUAAAUGGGAGGUAAAUUUCUUCUAAAGCUAAAUAUUGGCCAGAGACCGAUAGCGCACAAGUAGAGUGAUCGAAAGAUGAAAAGCACUUUGGAAAGAGAGUCAAACAGCACGUGAAAUUGUUGAAAGGGAAGCGCUUGCAGCCAGACUUGCUUGCAGUUGCUCAUCCGGGCUUUUGCCCGGUGCACUCUUCUGUAGGCAGGCCAGCAUCAGUUUGGGCGGUGGGAUAAAGGUCUCUGUCACGUACCUCUCUUCGGGGAGGCCUUAUAGGGGAGACGACAUACCACCAGCCUAGACUGAGGUCCGCGCAUCUGCUAGGAUGCUGGCGUAAUGGCUGUAAGCGGCCCGUCUUGAAACACGGACCAAGGAGUCUAACAUCUAUGCGAGUGUUUGGGUGUCAAGCCCGAGCGCGUAAUGAAAGUGAACGGAGGUGGGAACCCGCAAGGGUGCACCAUCGACCGAUCCUGAAGUUUACGGAAGGAUUUGAGUAAGAGCAUGGCUGUUGGGACCCGAAAGAUGGUGAACUAUGCUUGAAUAGGGUGAAGCCAGAGGAAACUCUGGUGGAGGCUCGCAGCGGUUCUGACGUGCAAAUCGAUCGUCAAAUUUGGGCAUAGGGGCGAAAGACUAAUCGAACUAUCUAGUAGCUGGUCCUGCG
RNAcentral lists this ribosomal RNA (905 nucleotides) under Bipolaris sorokiniana. Its description in RNAcentral is "LSU rRNA". It matches the Rfam family "Eukaryotic large subunit ribosomal RNA", at positions 38 to 962 of the family's 3401-position model. Lineage: Eukaryota; Fungi; Ascomycota; Dothideomycetes; Pleosporales; Pleosporaceae. The record is from RNAcentral.